Molecule: ribosomal RNA, 479 nt
Filed under: Bacillus sp. SSCA36
Lineage: Bacteria; Bacillati; Bacillota; Bacilli; Caryophanales; Bacillaceae
Description: bacterial SSU rRNA
Rfam family: Bacterial small subunit ribosomal RNA
Source: RNAcentral
CGGCGUGCUAAUACAUGCAAGUCGAGCGGAUAAAAGGGGCUUGCUCCUUUUAGUUAGCGGCGGACGGGUGAGUAACACGUGGGCAACCUGCCCGUAAGAUCGGGAUAACUUCGGGAAACCGGAGCUAAUACCGGAUAACACCGAAGACCGCAUGGUCUUUGGUUGAAAGGCGGCUUUGGCUGUCACUUACGGAUGGGCCCGCGGCGCAUUAGCUAGUUGGUGAGGUAACGGCUCACCAAGGCGACGAUGCGUAGCCGACCUGAGAGGGUGAUCGGCCACACUGGGACUGAGACACGGCCCAGACUCCUACGGGAGGCAGCAGUAGGGAAUCUUCCGCAAUGGACGAAAGUCUGACGGAGCAACGCCGCGUGAGCGAAGAAGGUCUUCGGAUUGUAAAGCUCUGUUGUUAGGGAAGAACAAGUACCGUUCGAAUAGGGCGGUACCGGACGGUACCUAACGAGAAAGCCACGGCAAUUAUU